AGCACUAUAUUUAAACCAAUGGAUGGGAUUUUUCCCCGUUCUUGGUUACGCUGUAGUGCAAAAGUAUUCCUGACUCCUCUUGCACAGUUGACUUUCUUCAAUUCUGCUGCUGCGAUAAGAGUUAAGGAACAUAU
Molecule: small nucleolar RNA, 134 nt
Organism: Suncus etruscus (white-toothed pygmy shrew)
Lineage: Eukaryota; Metazoa; Chordata; Mammalia; Eulipotyphla; Soricidae
Product: small nucleolar RNA SNORA46
Exons: 1
Source: RefSeq, a predicted model, not a curated record